UACAGAGGGUGCAAGCGUUAAUCGGAAUUACUGGGCGUAAAGCGCGCGUAGGCGGUUUGGUAAGUGUGAUGUGAAAUCCCCGGGCUCAACCUAGGAACUGCAUCACAUACUGCCAGGCUAGAGUACGGUAGAGGGGGGUAGAAUUCCACGUGUAGCGGUGAAAUGCGUAGAUAUGUGGAGGAAUACCGAUGGCGAAGGCAGCCCCUGGGUCGAUACUGACGCUCAUGCACGAAAGCGUGGGGAGCAAACAGGAUUAGAUACCCCGGUAGU
This 270-nucleotide ribosomal RNA is filed under the name uncultured bacterium. RNAcentral's name for it is "partial 16S ribosomal RNA". It matches the Rfam family "Bacterial small subunit ribosomal RNA", at positions 524 to 794 of the family's 1533-position model. The record is from RNAcentral.